UCCACGCCGUAAACGAUGACGACUAGCUGUCGGGGCUCUUAGAGUUUCGGUGGCGCAGCUAACGCAUUAAGUCGUCCGCCUGGGGAGUACGGCCGCAAGGUUAAAACUCAAAGGAAUUGACGGGGGCCUGCACAAGCGGUGGAGCAUGUGGUUUAAUUCGAAGCAACGCGCAGAACCUUACCAGCGUUUGACAUGGUAGGACGACUUCCAGAGAUGGAUU
This 220-nucleotide ribosomal RNA is filed under the name uncultured bacterium. RNAcentral describes it as "partial 16S ribosomal RNA". It matches the Rfam family "Bacterial small subunit ribosomal RNA", at positions 794 to 1012 of the family's 1533-position model. The record is from RNAcentral.